This 87-nucleotide microRNA precursor is filed under the name Symbiodinium microadriaticum. RNAcentral's name for it is "microRNA smc-mir-12459 precursor". The record is from miRBase by way of RNAcentral. Lineage: Eukaryota; Dinophyceae; Suessiales; Symbiodiniaceae.
UACCGUCCCUGAGAGUUCAAUGAGUCUCUGGGAGACACUCCGGCGAAGCGUCUCCCAGAGACUCAUCGAACUUUCAGGAAUAGUAUC